RNAcentral lists this ribosomal RNA (654 nucleotides) under uncultured bacterium. RNAcentral's name for it is "bacterial SSU rRNA". It matches the Rfam family "Bacterial small subunit ribosomal RNA", at positions 60 to 737 of the family's 1533-position model. The record is from RNAcentral.
AGUCGAACGGGGGUAGCAAUACCCCAGUGGCGAACGGGUGCGUAACACGUGAGGAACAUUCCUUCCGGUGGGGGAUAGCCGGCCUAACGGCCGGGUAAUACCGCAUACGCUGUUCGGGGUGCAUACCCUGGAUCGGAAAGCAGCAAUGCGCCGGAAAGGUGCCUCGCGGCCUAUCAGCUAGUUGGUGAGGUAAUGGCUCACCAAGGCGACGACGGGUAGCUGGUCUGAGAGGAUGGCCAGCCACAUUGGGACUGAGACACGGCCCAGACUCCUACGGGAGGCAGCAGUGGGGAAUCUUGCGCAAUGGGCGAAAGCCUGACGCAGCGACGCCGCGUGUGGGAUGACGGCCUUCGGGUUGUAAACCACUGUCGCGAGGGACGAAGAUCUGACGGUACCUCGAAAGGAAGCACCGGCUAACUCUGUGCCAGCAGCCGCGGUAAUACAGAGGGUGCAAGCGUUGUCCGGAAUCACUGGGCGUAAAGGGCGCGUAGGCGGCCUGAUAAGUAGGAGGUGAAAUCCUGGGGCUUAACCUCAGGGCUGCCUUCUAGACUGUCCGGCUCGAGCACAGUAGAGGCAGGUGGAAUUCCCGGUGUAGCGGUGGAAUGCGUAGAGAUCGGGAAGAACAUCGGUGGCGAAGGCGGCCUGCUGGGCUGU